RNAcentral lists this ribosomal RNA (528 nucleotides) under uncultured bacterium. Its description in RNAcentral is "bacterial SSU rRNA". It matches the Rfam family "Bacterial small subunit ribosomal RNA", at positions 372 to 917 of the family's 1533-position model. The record is from RNAcentral.
UGGGCGAAAGCCUGAUCCAGCCAUGCCGCGUGAGUGAAGAAGGCCUUAGGGUUGUAAAGCUCUUUCAGUUGUGACGAUGAUGACGGUAGCGACAGAAGAAGCCCCGGCUAACUCCGUGCCAGCAGCCGCGGUAAUACGGAGGGGGCAAGCGUUGUUCGGAUUUACUGGGCGUAAAGGGCGCGUAGGCGGGGUAUCAAGUUAGGGGUGAAAGCCCGGGGCUCAACCUCGGAACUGCCUUUAAAACUGAUACUCUAGAGUCCGGAAGAGGGUCGCGGAAUUCCCAGUGUAGAGGUGAAAUUCGUAGAUAUUGGGAAGAACACCGGUGGCGAAGGCGGCGACCUGGUCCGGUACUGACGCUGAGGCGCGAAAGCGUGGGGAGCAAACAGGAUUAGAUACCCUGGUAGUCCACGCCGUAAACGAUGUGUGCUAGCCGUCGGGCUCCUUGGGAGUUCGGUGGCGCAGCUAACGCGUUAAGCACACCGCCUGGGGAGUACGGCCGCAAGGUUAAAACUCAAAGGAAUUGACGGA